UACGAAGGGUGCGAGCGUUGUUCGAAAUGACUGGGCGUAAAGGGUUCGUAGGCGGGAAGACAAGUUUAGUGUGAAAUCCCCAGGCUUAACCUGGGACGUGCAUUAAAAACUGUUUUUCUUGAGUAUUGGAGAGGGUGGUGGAAUUGCUGGUGUAGGAGUGACAUCCGUAGAGAUCAGCAGGAACACCGGAGGCGAAGGCGACCACCUGGCCAAAUACUGACGCUGAGGAACGAAAGCGUGGGGAGCAAACAGG
RNAcentral lists this ribosomal RNA (253 nucleotides) under uncultured bacterium. RNAcentral describes it as "partial 16S ribosomal RNA". It matches the Rfam family "Bacterial small subunit ribosomal RNA", at positions 524 to 776 of the family's 1533-position model. The record is from RNAcentral.